Molecule: ribosomal RNA, 397 nt
Filed under: uncultured bacterium
Lineage: Bacteria
Description: partial 16S ribosomal RNA
Rfam family: Bacterial small subunit ribosomal RNA
Source: RNAcentral
AUACGUAGGUGCCAAGCGUUAUCCGGAUUUACUGGGCGUAAAGGGCGUGUAGGCGGUCUUGCAAGUCAGAAGUGAAAUUCCUGAGCUCAACUCGGGCGCUGCUUCUGAAACUGCAGGACUUGAGUGCUGGAGGGGAUAGCGGAAUUCCUAGUGGAGCGGUAAAAUGCGCAGAUAUUAGGAAGAACACCGGUGGCGAAGGCGUCUAUCUGGACAGUAACUGACGCUGAGGCGCGAACGCGUGGGGAGCAAACAGGAUUAGAUACCCUGGUACUCCACGCCGUAAACGAUGAAUACUAGGUGUAGGGGGUAUCGACUCCCUCUGUGCCGCAGUUAACACAAUAAGUAUUCCGCCUGGGGAGUACGGCCGCAAGGUUGAAACUCAAAUGAAUUGACGGGU